Molecule: ribosomal RNA, 433 nt
Filed under: uncultured bacterium
Lineage: Bacteria
Description: bacterial SSU rRNA
Rfam family: Bacterial small subunit ribosomal RNA
Source: RNAcentral
AACGAACGCUGGCGGCAGGCCUAACACAUGCAAGUCGAGCGAACCCUUCGGGGUUAGCGGCGGACGGGUUAGUAACGCGUGGGAGUAUACCCUUUGGUACGGAAUAGCCUCGGGAAACUGAGAGUAAUACCGUAUGUGCCCUUCGGGGGAAAGAUUUAUCGCCAAAGGAUUAGCCCGCGUUGGAUUAGAUAGUUGGUGGGGUAAUGGCCUACCAAGUCUACGAUCCAUAGCUGGUUUGAGAGGAUGAUCAGCAACACUGGGACUGAGACACGGCCCAGACUCCUACGGGAGGCAGCAGUGGGGAAUCUUAGACAAUGGGCGCAAGCCUGAUCUAGCCAUGCCGCGUGGACGAUGAAGGCCUUAGGGUUGUAAAGUCCUUUCAGAUGGGAAGAUAAUGACGGUACCAUCAGAAGAAGCCCCGGCUAACUCCGUG